This 1450-nucleotide ribosomal RNA is filed under the name Bacillus subtilis. Its description in RNAcentral is "bacterial SSU rRNA". It matches the Rfam family "Bacterial small subunit ribosomal RNA". Lineage: Bacteria; Bacillati; Bacillota; Bacilli; Caryophanales; Bacillaceae. The record is from RNAcentral.
CUGCAAGUCGAGCGGACAGAUGGGAGCUUGCUCCCUGAUGUUAGCGGCGGACGGGUGAGUAACACGUGGGUAACCUGCCUGUAAGACUGGGAUAACUCCGGGAAACCGGGGCUAAUACCGGAUGGUUGUUUGAACCGCAUGGUUCAAACAUAAAAGGUGGCUUCGGCUACCACUUACAGAUGGACCCGCGGCGCAUUAGCUAGUUGGUGAGGUAACGGCUCACCAAGGCAACGAUGCGUAGCCGACCUGAGAGGGUGAUCGGCCACACUGGGACUGAGACACGGCCCAGACUCCUACGGGAGGCAGCAGUAGGGAAUCUUCCGCAAUGGACGAAAGUCUGACGGAGCAACGCCGCGUGAGUGAUGAAGGUUUUCGGAUCGUAAAGCUCUGUUGUUAGGGAAGAACAAGUACCGUUCGAAUAGGGCGGUACCUUGACGGUACCUAACCAGAAAGCCACGGCUAACUACGUGCCAGCAGCCGCGGUAAUACGUAGGUGGCAAGCGUUGUCCGGAAUUAUUGGGCGUAAAGGGCUCGCAGGCGGUUUCUUAAGUCUGAUGUGAAAGCCCCCGGCUCAACCGGGGAGGGUCAUUGGAAACUGGGGAACUUGAGUGCAGAAGAGGAGAGUGGAAUUCCACGUGUAGCGGUGAAAUGCGUAGAGAUGUGGAGGAACACCAGUGGCGAAGGCGACUCUCUGGUCUGUAACUGACGCUGAGGAGCGAAAGCGUGGGGAGCGAACAGGAUUAGAUACCCUGGUAGUCCACGCCGUAAACGAUGAGUGCUAAGUGUUAGGGGGUUUCCGCCCCUUAGUGCUGCAGCUAACGCAUUAAGCACUCCGCCUGGGGAGUACGGUCGCAAGACUGAAACUCAAAGGAAUUGACGGGGGCCCGCACAAGCGGUGGAGCAUGUGGUUUAAUUCGAAGCAACGCGAAGAACCUUACCAGGUCUUGACAUCCUCUGACAAUCCUAGAGAUAGGACGUCCCCUUCGGGGGCAGAGUGACAGGUGGUGCAUGGUUGUCGUCAGCUCGUGUCGUGAGAUGUUGGGUUAAGUCCCGCAACGAGCGCAACCCUUGAUCUUAGUUGCCAGCAUUCAGUUGGGCACUCUAAGGUGACUGCCGGUGACAAACCGGAGGAAGGUGGGGAUGACGUCAAAUCAUCAUGCCCCUUAUGACCUGGGCUACACACGUGCUACAAUGGACAGAACAAAGGGCAGCGAAACCGCGAGGUUAAGCCAAUCCCACAAAUCUGUUCUCAGUUCGGAUCGCAGUCUGCAACUCGACUGCGUGAAGCUGGAAUCGCUAGUAAUCGCGGAUCAGCAUGCCCGGUGGAAUACCGUUCCCGGGGCCUUGUACACACCGCCCGUCACACCACGAGAGUUUGUAACACCCGAAGUCGGUGAGGUAACCUUUUAGGAGCCAGCCGCCGAAGGUGGGACAGAUGAUUGGGGUGAAU